RNAcentral lists this long non-coding RNA (236 nucleotides) under Elaeis guineensis (African oil palm). RNAcentral describes it as "long non-coding RNA (EGUI_LNC065362)". The record is from RNAcentral. Lineage: Eukaryota; Viridiplantae; Streptophyta; Magnoliopsida; Arecales; Arecaceae.
GAGGACCCUUGAGUUUUUGAUAUAGUUUGCUUUUCCCUUAUCACCGGUGUAGUUCAUCACUUUCUCUUUUUCUCUCUCCUCCUUUUUUUAUGUUCGAGUGAGGGUUUUUUCUCUACUCUUAACAGGGUUGUGGGAGUGUAGAGGAGCCGUUGAGGAGGCUUUCCCCCUCAUCCGGUCUUGAUCGAUCGGGUCUUCAUUUGUGUCAAGAUGAGGUUCUCCUCCUGUUCCCGACACAG